GCCAUCAUGGUGUAGUGCUUCAAAUGUUGGACUAUGACUCUGGAGAUCAGGGUUCGAUUCCCCUCUUGGCC
This 71-nucleotide transfer RNA is filed under the name Phrynosoma platyrhinos (Desert horned lizard). RNAcentral's name for it is "tRNA-OTHER". The record is from RNAcentral. Lineage: Eukaryota; Metazoa; Chordata; Lepidosauria; Squamata; Phrynosomatidae.